GCGAGCUUUUUAGUAGUUUACUACAGAAAAUGACUGAGCGGCGAACGGGUGAGUAACGCGUGAGCAAUCUACCUUAGUUACAGGGAUAGCCCGAGGAAACUCGGAUUAAUACCUGAUAUUCUUUAUUUCUCGCAUGAGAAUAAAAGGAAAGGUCAGCCGAACUAAGAUGAGCUCGCGUUCUAUCAGCUAGUUGGUGAGGUAAAAGCUUACCAAGGCUACGACGGAUAGCUGGUCUGAGAGGACGAUCAGCCACACUGGGACUGAGACGCGGCCCAGACUCCUACGGGAGGCUGCAGCAGGGAAUAUUGUGCAAUGAACGAAAGUUUGACACAGCGACACCGCGUGUGGGAUGACGGAUCUAGGUUUGUAAACCACUUUCAGGAGGGAAGAAAAUGACGGUACCUCCACAAGAAGCCCCGGCCAACUACGUGCCAGCAGCCGCGGUAAUACGUAGGGGGCGAGCGUUGUCCGGAUUUAUUGGGCGUAAAGAGCUCGUAGGCGGUUCAACAAGUCGGUAGUAAAAGUUCAGGGCUCAACCCUGAAAUGUCUAUCGAUACUGUUGUGACUAGGAUACGGCAGAGGUGAGUGGAAUUCCGAGUGUAGCGGUGAAAUGCGUAGAUAUUCGGAGGAACACCAAUUGCGAAGGCAGCUCACUGGGCCGCUAUCGACGCUGAGGAGCGAAAGCUAGGGGAGCAAACAGGAUUAGAUACCCUGGUAGUCCUAGCUGUAAACGAUGGAUACUAGACGUAGGAACUGGAUUGACGGUUUCUGUGUCGUAGCUAACGCGUUAAGUAUCCCGCCUGGGGGAGUACGGUCGCAAGACUAAAACUCAAAGGAAUUGACGGGACCCCGCACAAGCGGCGGAGCAUGCGGCUUAAUUCGAUGAUACCCGUAGAACCUUACCUGGACUUGACCAUAUAGGAUCCAGCUAUAGAGG
RNAcentral lists this ribosomal RNA (937 nucleotides) under uncultured marine bacterium. RNAcentral describes it as "bacterial SSU rRNA". It matches the Rfam family "Bacterial small subunit ribosomal RNA", at positions 66 to 1008 of the family's 1533-position model. The record is from RNAcentral.